This 1365-nucleotide long non-coding RNA is filed under the name Marmota monax (woodchuck). Lineage: Eukaryota; Metazoa; Chordata; Mammalia; Rodentia; Sciuridae. The record is from RNAcentral.
CUGACAUACUCUCAUGGACCUUCCCAGGGUUACCAAGACUUCCAGCUAGAAGCAUUAAUUCCAUAUCUUUUUGUUCUUCAAGAAGGCAAAGGGGAUGAGGGAUGAGGGUGAAGUGAUUAAGGAACCACCUUGACUGCACCUUGACUUAGCAGAAAGCACUUCGUAGCAUAGCUCCCCUCUGAAGACAGGCUGGAACACUGCUCUUGCACAGGCUUUCCAGGGUCACAGGCUGGAGCCCCUGGCCAGGACAACUCAUUUGGUUCCUUCCGGGCACUGAAGCACCCCCGCUUUUAUUUUGUAUGCAUUAUUUCCCCCACGGUGUCCUGAGUCUCCCAGGCCAAUGGAUAACCCUAAGCAAUCUAGUCAAGGUUUCACUGAGUCUUGCUGGUUCACAUGGUCCUGCAUAACCCUAGGCUGUGUAGGUAGAGUGAAUUAACACUAGUAAUGAGGAGCUGGGGGACUCUACAUUCCCAUUUCCCACCCUUAACCCCCUCUUCAUCUCUAGGAGUUCCCUCCUCUGGAUUGGCUCUGCCUCUGGAUUGGAGCUAAGGUCGCAACUGAGCAUGAGCCAAAGUCCACCUGACCAGAGGACUCCGGGCUCUAAACAGGGUGCCUCCAUACCCCACAUGUUUAGAAGUAUAAAAUAUUGCCCCCAGUCUUUCCUCAACUCCUCUUACUGGGCGGCUUUAAAUAGAAACAGGCUUUCAGACCAGACCUCAUGUAAGGGGCUGGGUUCACCCCAAAGAGGGCCUGGGUGUGUGGAGGGCACUGACCUUGAAAAUUAUUCCCAAAACUCAUUUUCCUGGACAGAGUGAAACGAUAAAAAGGGGAAGAAUUACUGAGUGAGGAUCUGAGGAUGGUUUCUCCUCUUAUUUCUAAGACAACAGGAAAACAUGUCCAAAUGAAGGGGCUCCAUGUUCAUGUACAAAACAAUAGUGCAACCUGCGUUGCUGAACACUGACAGUGUCCCAAGGUCCUGUUAGCUGCUCUGAUGGCUCCUUCCCGAUUAGCCUUCUCUUGUCCUCCCCGGAGCUCAGCCCUCAAAACUUGUAGUUGGUUUUGACCCCUCGGGCCACAGUUCAAGCCAGUCAUGAAAUUCUGAUUGAUUCCACUUCCGUGACCCUCCUUGAAUCUGACCAUUUCUCCCCUUUUCUACUCCAAACUGGUGCUGGAGUCACCAUCUCCCUCCUCCCCACUUUUGCCCAUGCACCCUACACUCUUAUUUUUAAAUCACAGCCAGGGAUUUAAACAUGUAUGUAACACAUACAAGGUUCCCUUGUAAACCCUUCCAUCAAAACAUACUGAAAAUUAUUUGGAUUGCCUUCUGAUCUUUAGAAUGAUCCUACAGACUGUGCUGAAUCUGCC